RNAcentral lists this long non-coding RNA (614 nucleotides) under Fukomys damarensis (Damara mole-rat). Its description in RNAcentral is "lncRNA (ENSFDAG00000026140.1)". Lineage: Eukaryota; Metazoa; Chordata; Mammalia; Rodentia; Bathyergidae. The record is from RNAcentral.
GUUCAGAGACAAAGCUAGGCUGUCUCCAUCUACUUCCGAGGUCUGUUCCCCCGAGUUGACACUCUCGAGGGUGACUCCCUAGAUCCUGCCUUUGUUUUUACCUCCUUUCCUUAUACCUAGAAGACACCCUUUUGGAGAAUUUGUGACCUCGCUCAAUAUCCUUUCUGUCCACAUUUAAAAUCACUGUUCUUUUUGGGUGUGAAUCGGGGUUAUGAGGCCAGAAGGAUAGGGUUGGGACUCCCAAAGCUUUAUGAGACAUGCUUAAAAAAAUAUUUUUCAAGCACUUUGCAGCAAAGUGGGGUUAACAUUUUACGUGGACUGCAUUGUGAGCAAGAGCCAGGCAGCAAAGAACCCAGGAAAUGUUAUGGAGAUCUGGGCAAACCCAAAUUAAAAAUGCCACACCAGCCCACAUUCGCGACCUCCCCGCCCGACAGAACUCAACCCACGCACUCAACUGAGACACCUAGACCACGCCAGCCAUGCCACGAGGAAUUGAACUUGGGACUGCUCUUUUGAGGCAGGCAGCAGAACAACUGAGGUAAAUCCCUGGCCCCUGUAGGUAUCUAUUAAUUCCAUUUGUUUCAAGGUCUGAUUCAAUACUUUUUUGUUUUUUU